AUGUUCCCACUAAUUGUGAUGAAAGGGAGGAGAGGAAAGGAAGAGAGGAAGCCUAGAUACAAUAAGGAAUUGUCCAUGGUUCCUGGAUGCCACAAAACAGAAGUGGGGACCUGCAGUUAUUGGCCAGGAAAGAUGAGGAAACUGAGAGCCAGGAGGGCUAAGGUCUCCAUCUGCCCUGGGUCACUCAAUCAAUGGAGUGGCAGAACCAUCAUUUGA
This 216-nucleotide long non-coding RNA is filed under the name Monodelphis domestica (gray short-tailed opossum). Its description in RNAcentral is "lncRNA (ENSMODG00000046781.1)". Lineage: Eukaryota; Metazoa; Chordata; Mammalia; Didelphimorphia; Didelphidae. The record is from RNAcentral.